CAGAGCCGAAGAGGCCCCUAGACUUCUGCGAGCCUCCUCCCGAGGGACCGCCCCGCCCACGCACCCACGUGACUCGCGCUGUGGGCGGGAGAGAAACAUGGGCUGGGGGCGUGGCCAAGUCCCGCCCCGCCCCACCCUGCGGCCUGCUCUACCUGGCGCUGCUCCAGCCCGCUAGGCGCUCUGGGCCUCUCGGCGGCUUGGGUACCGUAGCUGUUUCUGCAGACGCUGCGCGCUCCGCUCCAUCUUCCCAGUAGCCUCGGCCCGGCUGAACCACUUAAAUUUACUGCCUGAGCCCCACAAUCGACCUCGGUCCUUAAAUGUAUGCAUUCCGACUACGUAAACGUGCCUCCUGAGCCGUCAGAGUGGCGCUCGUUGUCCUUUCUUCGAAGGUGAGCGAACUUGAGAUUCAGGACUGAGAAAGGAGAUCCCAAGUCAGACACGACCUCCUGUUGCUUCUCUGUCCGCUCUCUUAUUGCCGGGGUUCAGGGUCAAAACACUGACCACUCCAAACCCACAGCCCAGUUAAGUCAGCAUCCCUGCCUCACCUAAGGACACCACUUCUGCCGAUCACCUUCAAGGCAGCUCCAGGAACUAGACACAUCUGGCAGAGAGAGAGGUGGGGAACCUUCCCAGCAGUACUUUCUUGUGCCUGUUACAAACGAAAGGACUGGGCAAGCCAGAAUUCCAUGGCCUGCUUCUCCACCUAAUUGUUAUCUUGGGCAAGUCAUUUGACUUCUCUCUGCUGGAUUCCAGAGAUGACUUGUAACCUGGACGAGUGCAAGUAACUACCUAACAGAGAUGUCGCACAGAUUAAUGCUACGGUAGGUCAGGUGUUCAGAAUAGGGCUUGGCAUCUAAAUUAAUGAAAGAAAUCACUCAGGACUGGUCACUGUUCUAUGUUGCCUUCUUAACGCGCUUCCGGAUGCCUGCCAGUACCUGCUAAAUCCAGACUAGGCUUUCGGGGUCUGAAGCCAAGGUACCACGCACGGGGUUGUGGGAUGAUGGAGGGACAAACAGGGUCGCUAUACUGACUAAUGCAAACACAGAUUAUGACUAGUGACACUUGAAAUCUUGUGGGAUUGAACCCAGAUCUUGUGUCUACUACUACUACAGCAACCUCCACCACUGAGCUACAUCCCCAUUCUCACAGAUUAUUUUGAGACAACCUCUCACUCAGUUGGCCACUUAAUGUAGCCCAGACAGGCCUUAAACUUGUGACCCUCCUGAACUGCUGAGAUUACGGACUUGAACUCCCAGAGCCAGCACCAACAAAUCUCUAAGUAGAAGGAAUAUCCUGCACGAUGUGAACCAACUGUGGUACCCAGGACAGAGGGGACCCUUCUGAAAAAUUGUGAAGGUUGCGCACAGACCCUCUCAGGGGCUGCAGUUGGAGAAGAGGCUGGACCCUAGAAGGCAG
This 1416-nucleotide long non-coding RNA is filed under the name Cricetulus griseus (Chinese hamster). RNAcentral's name for it is "lncRNA (ENSCGRG00015039195.1)". Lineage: Eukaryota; Metazoa; Chordata; Mammalia; Rodentia; Cricetidae. The record is from RNAcentral.